CGUAGGGGGCUAGCGUUGUCCGGAAUCAUUGGGCGUAAAGCGCGUGUAGGCGGCCCGGUAAGUCCGCUGUGAAAGUCGGGGGCUUAACCCUCGGAUGCCGGUGGAUACUGUCGGGCUUGAGUACGGAAGAGGCGAGUGGAAUUCCUGGUGUAGCGGUGAAAUGCGCAGAUAUCAGGAGGAACACCAAUUGCGAAGGCAGCUCGCUGGGACGUAACUGACGCUGAGACGCGAAAGCGUGGGGAGCAAACAGGAUUAGAUACCCUGGUAGUCCACGCUGUAAACGAUGGGCACUAGGUGUGGGGGGUGUCGACUCCCUCCGUGCCGAAGCUAACGCAUUAAGUGCCCCGCCUGGGGAGUACGGCCGCAAGGCUA
Molecule: ribosomal RNA, 372 nt
Filed under: uncultured organism
Description: bacterial SSU rRNA
Rfam family: Bacterial small subunit ribosomal RNA
Source: RNAcentral